UAAUAUGGAGAGGCAUCUUGAUAUAUUUAAAGUUUCGACGGUACGGGAUGGGCAUGCGUAACAUUAGCUAGUUGGUAGGGUAACGGCCUACCAAGGCGACGAUGUUUAGGGGUCCUGAGAGGGUGAUCCCCCACACUGGUACUGAGACACGGACCAGACUCCUACGGGAGGCAGCAGUGAGGAAUAUUGGUCAAUGGGCGUAAGCCUGAACCAGCCAUCCCGCGUGCAGGAAGACGGCGCUAUGCGUUGUAAACUGCUUUUCCAGGGGAAGAAAACCUGAUACGAGUAUCGGCUUGCCGGUACCCUGGGAAUAAGCAUCGGCUAACUCCGUGCCAGCAGCCGCGGUAAUACGGAGGAUGCGAGCGUUAUCCGGAUUUAUUGGGUUUAAAGGGUGCGUAGGCGGAUUAAUAAGUCAGUGGUGAAAACCUUCAGCUUAACUGGAGACUUGCCAUUGAUACUGUUAGUCUUGAGUACGGUCAAGGUAGGCGGAAUGUGUAAUGUAGCGGUGAAAUGCUUAGAUAUUACACAGAACACCGAUUGCGAAGGCAGCUUACUGGACCGCAACUGACGCUGAUGCACGAAAGCGUGGGGAGCGAACAGGAUUAGAUACCCUGGUAGUCCACGCCGUAAACGAUGAUCACUCGCUGUUAGCGAUACACAGUUAGCGGCUAAGCAAAAGCAU
RNAcentral lists this ribosomal RNA (682 nucleotides) under uncultured Bacteroidota bacterium. Its description in RNAcentral is "bacterial SSU rRNA". It matches the Rfam family "Bacterial small subunit ribosomal RNA", at positions 173 to 860 of the family's 1533-position model. Lineage: Bacteria; Pseudomonadati; Bacteroidota. The record is from RNAcentral.